CAGUCGCCACGGUAAAACGGAGGGGGCUAGCGUUGUUCGGAAUUACUGGGCGUAAAGCGCACGUAGGCGGCUUGGUAAGUUAGAGGUGAAAGCCUGGAGCUCAACUCCAGAAUUGCCUUUAAGACUGCCGAGCUAGCAGGUGAGAGAGGUAAGUGGAAUUCCGAGUGUAGAGGUGAAAUUCGUAGAUAUUCGGAAGAACACCAGUGGCGAAGGCGGCUUACUGGCUCAUACUGGACGCUGAGGUGCGAAAGCGUGGGGAGCAAACAGGAUUAGACCCCCGUAGUCCCUGUCUCUUAUACAC
RNAcentral lists this ribosomal RNA (301 nucleotides) under uncultured bacterium. Its description in RNAcentral is "partial 16S ribosomal RNA". It matches the Rfam family "Bacterial small subunit ribosomal RNA", at positions 509 to 809 of the family's 1533-position model. The record is from RNAcentral.